Otolemur garnettii (small-eared galago) is the source of this 107-nucleotide small nuclear RNA. Lineage: Eukaryota; Metazoa; Chordata; Mammalia; Primates; Galagidae. The record is from Ensembl.
CGGCUCACUUUGAUAGCACACGUACUAACACUGGAACGGUAGAGAGAAGAUUAGUGUGGCCCCUGGGCAAGGAUGACACACGAAUUCAUGAAGUGUUCAUAGUAAAA